This 67-nucleotide transfer RNA is filed under the name Stenatkina angustata. RNAcentral's name for it is "tRNA-Thr". It matches the Rfam family "tRNA". From Rfam's summary of the family: Transfer RNA (tRNA) molecules are approximately 80 nucleotides in length. The record is from RNAcentral. Lineage: Eukaryota; Metazoa; Arthropoda; Insecta; Hemiptera; Cicadellidae. RNAcentral also lists the same sequence under 1 other name.
GUUUUUAUAAUUUAAAAUUAAAAUUUUAGUUUUGUAAACUAAAUAUGGAAUUUAAUUCCUUAAAACA